CAAUCGCCUAUCCUCUCUUCCUCUCAUAUCCUCUUCGCCUUGUGUUCUGAGCUUACAAAAGCCCUUUGUUUCUAUUCCCUGUACUUACGAGUGCAUGUUCGUACUGGGAAGCUGUGUUAACCUUGGGGAGCAAACGACAUAACGAUUAGCACCUCGGCCAGCCGAAAUUGCUUUCAGGGCAGUGGUUCGUCACGACACAACAAUAAAUCUGAUCGACCUUACCUUCUAACAAAGGAUAGACCCAAGUGUGAAUACCACGAGCUCUCCUGUCCACAAAAAAAGAAUUCUCAAAGAACAGUAACAUAAAUUUCUUCAGCAACUCAAUUUGAAAUCAAAAGACAGACAGAUCCAUAAUGCUUCGAAAUUUACAAACCUCCACCAUAUCUUCUCCUCCUCCUCCUCCAAAAUUCUUGAGAAAUUGCUUCCCAAUUUCAUACUACACCAACAGCCAAUGGCUUUUUCACCCUUCAAAUCCCCAGUUCUUCUUCAUUGCGCUUCCCAUUCUCCUUCUUCGGCAAAGCUAAGAGAUAAUUACCAUGCGCCGCUGCGGCAAGAACUCACGGAUCGUUUUUGCCCUAAUGACAGGGCUUCUGCUUCUGCUUCUGCUUGCGAUCGCGAUGGCGAGGCCGAUUAAUAGACCGCCAAUUCCGCCGUCUGGCCGGAACCCCUGCUCUCAUUUUUCGCUGCCCGGUGAUGGAAGGCAUUGCCGUUGAUGGAUGAAGGGAUCGGAGCUCAGGGGAGAUUGUGUGCAUGUUCUUAAUUUCUUGAGGUUCUUUGUUUUUUUACCAACGACCUCUUUUGGCGUAGCCAUUAGCAAAACUAUAAAAUACAACUUUUGCUUACGUCAAAUUUCGUUGUAAAAUACUAAAAUUAUUGUUCAUCUUCAUCAUGCUAUGAAUGAUGUUUCAUGUUUGUAACGGAUCAGCAAUAAUAAACUCGAAAAAAGCUCUUCCUUUUUA
This is a long non-coding RNA of Cucumis melo (muskmelon), 959 nucleotides long. RefSeq lists it as uncharacterized. The transcript is spliced from 2 exons. The record is from RefSeq and is a predicted model, not a curated record. Lineage: Eukaryota; Viridiplantae; Streptophyta; Magnoliopsida; Cucurbitales; Cucurbitaceae.